Trichodelitschia bisporula is the source of this 83-nucleotide non-coding RNA. Lineage: Eukaryota; Fungi; Ascomycota; Dothideomycetes; Phaeotrichales; Phaeotrichaceae. The record is from the annotation of a GenBank genome assembly.
GGACCCGUGGCGCAACGGUAGCGCAUCUGAUUCCAGACAAUGGAAUGACCAGAAGGUUAUCCGUUCAAGUCGGGUCGGGUUCA